This is a non-coding RNA of Aedes albopictus (Asian tiger mosquito), 58 nucleotides long. NCBI's taxonomy places the organism in Eukaryota, Metazoa, Arthropoda, Insecta, Diptera, Culicidae. The record is from Rfam.
UAGCCUAGUGGUUAAGGCUAUGGAUCGCAAAUCCGGAGACGGCGGGUUCGAUUCCCGU